This 482-nucleotide ribosomal RNA is filed under the name uncultured bacterium. Its description in RNAcentral is "bacterial SSU rRNA". It matches the Rfam family "Bacterial small subunit ribosomal RNA", at positions 28 to 507 of the family's 1533-position model. The record is from RNAcentral.
GAUGAACGCUGGCGGCGUGCUUAACACAUGCAAGUCGAACGAAGCACUUUACUACGAUUUCUUCGGAAUGACGGUUUUGUGACUGAGUGGCGGACGGGUGAGUAACGCGUGGAUAACCUGCCUCAUACAGGGGGAUAACAGCCGGAAACGGCUGCUAAUACCGCAUAAGCGCACGGUACCGCAUGGUACAGUGUGAAAAACUCCGGUGGUAUGGGAUGGAUCCGCGUCUGAUUAGCCAGUUGGCGGGGUAACGGCCCACCAAAGCGACGAUCAGUAGCCGACCUGAGAGGGUGACCGGCCACAUUGGGACUGAGACACGGCCCAAACUCCUACGGGAGGCAGCAGUGGGGAAUAUUGCACAAUGGGGGAAACCCUGAUGCAGCGACGCCGCGUGAGCGAAGAAGUAUUUCGGUAUGUAAAGCUCUAUCAGCAGGGAAGAAGAAAUGACGGUACCUGACUAAGAAGCCCCGGNUAACUACGUG